GAUGAACGCUGGCGGCGUGCCUAACACAUGCAAGUCGAACGAAAAGAUAAGAAGAUUGUUCUUUUGCCGUUGGCGGGGGACGGGUGAGUAACAAGUGGGUCGCCAACUUAUAAUUCGGGGAUAAUUACGGGGAGAAGGAGAUACUAAUGGAUCACAUGUGGAACCGCAGGGUUCUGAAGAGCAUGGUGGCUUUGCUGUCUGUAAUAGCUGGUCCCGCGCCGUAUUAGCUAGUUGGUAAGGUAACGGCUUACCAAGGCGACGAUACGUAGCUGACCUGAGAGGGUGAUCGGCCACACUGGAACUGAGACACGGUCCAGACUCCUACGGGAGGCAGCAGUAGGGAAUCUUCCGCAAUGGGCGAAAGCCUGACGGAGCAACACCGCGUGAGUGAUGAAGGGUUUCGGCUCGUAAAGCUCUGUUAUUAGGGAAGAACAACCGUGUAAUUAUCUGUGCACGUCUUGACGGUACCUAAUCAGAAAGCCACGGCUAACUACGUG
Molecule: ribosomal RNA, 497 nt
Filed under: uncultured bacterium
Lineage: Bacteria
Description: partial 16S ribosomal RNA
Rfam family: Bacterial small subunit ribosomal RNA
Source: RNAcentral